CUCCUUUAGGGUCAUGGUGAGAAAAUCAGUCCUUCCACAAAUAUGCAGAGUAUUUUUUGUGAUUGUUGCGGACAAAAAUCCUUGAUUAUACGGCACGUUUUAUUAAAAAAUGCAAUGGAAUAUGCGGGAUAUUUAUGCAAUUUUAUGCAAUGAAAUUGCUGGAACUUGCAAAAACUGCAGUUUGAUGAAAAAGAGACUGUCUUGUUGCGUAAUUAUGUUACUUCAUAACAUUCCCAUGGCAACAGGGGAAAAUGGCUGCUCUUGUGUGAAGUAAACGCAACAUUUUUCAACUUUCUGCUAAGAUAUAUGUGACUUUUUUUGCUACGGAAAUGCAGGAAUUAUGAAAUGAUGCAAGCCCCGCAUUACUUUGAACAGAAAUCAGCAAUUUAUGCAGCAAAAGUGCGGCAUUUAAAAAAAAAUGCAGCCCCCGCAUAAAUAUGCAGACUUUGGCUGCUAAUGCAUUGAAUUAUGCAAUCGCAUAAUCACGUUCUUCUGGAGGGAAUGGCAAAUGAUGUUUGGGUUUAGGA
Molecule: long non-coding RNA, 527 nt
Organism: Etheostoma cragini (Arkansas darter)
Lineage: Eukaryota; Metazoa; Chordata; Actinopteri; Perciformes; Percidae
Exons: 4
Source: RefSeq, a predicted model, not a curated record